This 350-nucleotide ribosomal RNA is filed under the name Mesorhizobium sp. RNAcentral's name for it is "bacterial SSU rRNA". It matches the Rfam family "Bacterial small subunit ribosomal RNA", at positions 349 to 691 of the family's 1533-position model. The record is from RNAcentral. Lineage: Bacteria; Pseudomonadati; Pseudomonadota; Alphaproteobacteria; Hyphomicrobiales; Phyllobacteriaceae.
CAGCAGUGGGGAAUAUUGGACAAUGGGCGAAAGCCUGAUCCAGCCAUGCCGCGUGUGUGAAGAAGGUCUUCGGAUUGUAAAGCACUUUAAGUUGGGAGGAAGGGCCAUUACCUAAUACGUGAUGGUUUUGACGUUACCGACAGAAUAAGCACCGGCUAACUCUGUGCCAGCAGCCGCGGUAAUACAGAGGGUGCAAGCGUUAAUCGGAAUUACUGGGCGUAAAGCGCGCGUAGGUGGUUCGUUAAGUUGGAUGUGAAAGCCCCGGGCUCAACCUGGGAACUGCAUUCAAAACUGACGAGCUAGAGUAUGGUAGAGGGUGGUGGAAUUUCCUGUGUAGCGGUGAAAUGCGU